CCGAUGCAUCUACAAUGACGGGAGUCAACACUCCUUCGACGAUUCGUCGGACCUUCACAAGGGCCGACGGACUCUUAUGAACGGGAGUUACACUCCUUCGACUUUCGGCAACACAUCCGCCCAAAGGCCGAUGCAACUGUUGCGACGGGAGUUCAUACUCCUUCUACGGUCGAAUUUUCGGGCAGAAUCCAUCGGCCGACAGGCCGAUCGGGCCCCGACCGAAGA
Molecule: long non-coding RNA, 225 nt
Filed under: Elaeis guineensis (African oil palm)
Lineage: Eukaryota; Viridiplantae; Streptophyta; Magnoliopsida; Arecales; Arecaceae
Description: long non-coding RNA (EGUI_LNC011547)
Source: RNAcentral